RNAcentral lists this ribosomal RNA (1963 nucleotides) under human gut metagenome. RNAcentral's name for it is "bacterial LSU rRNA". It matches the Rfam family "Bacterial large subunit ribosomal RNA", at positions 3 to 1977 of the family's 2925-position model. The record is from RNAcentral.
UUAAGUUAUUAAGGGCGCACGGUGGAUGCCUUGGCACUAGAAGCCGAUGAAGGACGUUACUAACGACGAUAUGCUUUGGGUAGCUGUAAGUAAGCGUUGAUCCAGAGAUUUCCGAAUGGGGGAACCCAGCAUGAGUUAUGUCAUGUUAUCGACAUGUGAAUUCAUAGCAUGUCAGAAGGCAGACCCGGAGAACUGAAACAUCUUAGUACCCGGAGGAAGAGAAAGAAAAUUCGAUUCCCUGAGUAGCGGCGAGCGAAACGGGAAGAGCCCAAACCAACAAGCUUGCUUGUUGGGGUUGUAGGACACUCUAUACGGAGUUACAAAAGAACAUGUUAGACGAAUCAUCUGGAAAGAUGAAUCAAAGAAGGUAAUAAUCCUGUAGUCGAAAACAUAUUCUCUCUUGAGUGGAUCCUGAGUACGACGGAGCACGUGAAAUUCCGUCGGAAUCUGGGAGGACCAUCUCCUAAGGCUAAAUACUCUCUAGUGACCGAUAGUGAACCAGUACCGUGAGGGAAAGGUGAAAAGUACCCCGGAAGGGGAGUGAAAGAGAACUUGAAACCGUGUGCUUACAAGUAGUCAGAGCCCGUUAAUGGGUGAUGGCGUGCCUUUUGUAGAAUGAACCGGCGAGUUACGAUCUGAUGCAAGGUUAAGCAGCAAAUGUGGAGCCGCAGCGAAAGCGAGUCUGAAUAGGGCGUUGAGUAUUUGGUCGUAGACCCGAAACCAGGUGAUCUACCCUUGGUCAGGUUGAAGUUCAGGUAACACUGAAUGGAGGACCGAACCGACUUACGUUGAAAAGUGAGCGGAUGAACUGAGGGUAGCGGAGAAAUUCCAAUCGAACUUGGAGAUAGCUGGUUCUCUCCGAAAUAGCUUUAGGGCUAGCCUCAAGUGAUGAUUAUUGGAGGUAGAGCACUGUUUGGACGAGGGGCCCCUCUCGGGUUACCGAAUUCAGACAAACUCCGAAUGCCAAUUAAUUUAACUUGGGAGUCAGAACAUGGGUGAUAAGGUCCGUGUUCGAAAGGGAAACAGCCCAGACCACCAGCUAAGGUCCCAAAAUAUAUGUUAAGUGGAAAAGGAUGUGGCGUUGCCCAGACAACUAGGAUGUUGGCUUAGAAGCAGCCAUCAUUUAAAGAGUGCGUAAUAGCUCACUAGUCGAGUGACACUGCGCCGAAAAUGUACCGGGGCUAAACAUAUUACCGAAGCUGUGGAUUGUCCUUUGGACAAUGGUAGGAGAGCGUUCUAAGGGCGUCGAAGCAUGAUCGCAAGGACAUGUGGAGCGCUUAGAAGUGAGAAUGCCGGUGUGAGUAGCGAAAGACGGGUGAGAAUCCCGUCCACCGAUUGACUAAGGUUUCCAGAGGAAGGCUCGUCCGCUCUGGGUUAGUCGGGUCCUAAGCUGAGGCCGACAGGCGUAGGCGAUGGAUAACAGGUUGAUAUUCCUGUACCACCUAGUAUCGUUUUAAUCGAUGGGGGGACGCAGUAGGAUAGGCGAAGCGUGCUGUUGGAGUGCACGUCCAAGCAGUAAGGCUGAGUGUUAGGCAAAUCCGGCACUCAUAAGGCUGAGCUGUGAUGGGGAGAGGAAAUUGUUUCCUCGAGUCGUUGAUUUCACACUGCCGAGAAAAGCCUCUAGAUAGAUAACAGGUGCCCGUACCGCAAACCGACACAGGUAGUCAAGAUGAGAAUUCUAAGGUGAGCGAGCGAACUCUCGUUAAGGAACUCGGCAAAAUGACCCCGUAACUUCGGGAGAAGGGGUGCUGACUUCGGUCAGCCGCAGUGAAUAGGCCCAAGCGACUGUUUAUCAAAAACACAGGUCUCUGCAAAAUCGUAAGAUGAAGUAUAGGGGCUGACGCCUGCCCGGUGCUGGAAGGUUAAGAGGAGUGGUUAGCUUCUGCGAAGCUACGAAUCGAAGCCCCAGUAAACGGCGGCCGUAACUAUAACGGUCCUAAGGUAGCGAAAUUCCUUGUCGGGU